GAUGAACGCUGGCGGCGUGCUUAACACAUGCAAGUCGAACGAAGAGCGAUGGAAGCUUGCUUCUAUCAAUCUUAGUGGCGAACGGGUGAGUAACGCGUAAUCAACCUGCCCUUCAGAGGGGGACAACAGUUGGAAACGACUGCUAAUACCGCAUACGAUCUAAUCUCGGCAUCGAGGAUAGAUGAAAGGUGGCCUCUACAUGUAAGCUAUCACUGAAGGAGGGGAUUGCGUCUGAUUAGCUAGUUGGAGGGGUAACGGCCCACCAAGGCGAUGAUCAGUAGCCGGUCUGAGAGGAUGAACGGCCACAUUGGGACUGAGACACGGCCCAGAAUCCUACGGGAGGCAGCAGUGGGGAAUCUUCCGCAAUGGACGAAAGUCUGACGGAGCAACGCCGCGUGAGUGAUGACGGCCUUCGGGUUGUAAAGCUCUGUUAAUCGGGACGAAAGGCCUUCUUGCGAAUAGUGAGAAGGAUUGACGGUACCGGAAUAGAAAGCCACGGCUAACUACGUG
Molecule: ribosomal RNA, 510 nt
Filed under: uncultured bacterium
Lineage: Bacteria
Description: partial 16S ribosomal RNA
Rfam family: Bacterial small subunit ribosomal RNA
Source: RNAcentral